Molecule: ribosomal RNA, 253 nt
Filed under: uncultured bacterium
Lineage: Bacteria
Description: partial 16S ribosomal RNA
Rfam family: Bacterial small subunit ribosomal RNA
Source: RNAcentral
UACGAGUGGCGCAAGUGUUACUCCUCGUGACUGGGCGUAAAGAGUGCGUAGGUAGUAUAUAAAAUCAGAGGUGAAAGCACAAAAAAUAUUUGAGAUAUGCCUUUGGAAUAAAUAUACUGGGGUAUUUUAGGAGAUAGUGGAAUGACUAAUGUAGAAUUAAAAAGCGUUUGUACAUUACUCGGAACGUCAAUGGCGAAGGCGAAUAUCUAUGAAAUACUAAAACUGAGGCACUAAGGCAUGGGGAUCGAAUGGG